UACAGAGGUCUCAAGCGUUGUUCGGAUUCAUUGGGCGUAAAGGGUGCGUAGGUGGCGCGGUAAGUCGGGUGUGAAAUUUCGGAGCUUAACUCCGAAACUGCAUUCGAUACUGCCGUGCUUGAGGACUGGAGAGGAGACUGGAAUUUACGGUGUAGCAGUGAAAUGCGUAGAGAUCGUAAGGAAGACCAGUGGCGAAGGCGGGUUUCUGGACAGUUCCUGACACUGAGGCACGAAGGCCAGGGGAGCAAACGGG
This 253-nucleotide ribosomal RNA is filed under the name uncultured bacterium. RNAcentral's name for it is "partial 16S ribosomal RNA". It matches the Rfam family "Bacterial small subunit ribosomal RNA", at positions 524 to 776 of the family's 1533-position model. The record is from RNAcentral.